Molecule: ribosomal RNA, 468 nt
Filed under: uncultured bacterium
Lineage: Bacteria
Description: partial 16S ribosomal RNA
Rfam family: Bacterial small subunit ribosomal RNA
Source: RNAcentral
GGCGAACGCUGGCGGCGUGCUUAACACAUGCAAGUCGAACGGAAAGGCCCUGCUUUUGUGGGGUGCUCGAGUGGCGAACGGGUGAGUAACACGUGAGUAACCUGACCUUGACUUUGGGAUAACUUCAGGAAACUGGGGCUAAUACCGGAUAGGAGCUCCUGCUGCAUGGUGGGGGUUGGAAAGUUUCGGCGGUUGGGGAUGGACUUGCGGCUUAUCAGCUUGUUGGUGGGGUAGUGGCUUACCAAGGCUUUGACGGGUAGCCGGCCUGAGAGGGUGACCGGCCACAUUGGGACUGAGAUACGGCCCAGACUCCUACGGGAGGCAGCAGUGGGGAAUAUUGCACAAUGGGCGGAAGCCUGAUGCAGCAACGCCGCGUGCGGGAUGACGGCCUUCGGGUUGUAAACCGCUUUCGCCUGUGACGAAGCGUGAGUGACGGUAAUGGGUAAAGAAGCACCGGCUAACUACGUG